Molecule: long non-coding RNA, 792 nt
Organism: Chloebia gouldiae (Gouldian finch)
Lineage: Eukaryota; Metazoa; Chordata; Aves; Passeriformes; Passeridae
Source: Ensembl
GGUCACUCAGUGGUCACUCAGGGGUCAGUUGGUCACUCUGGUCACUCCUCCCCAGGGCAUGCCGCGGUUCCGGGCAGGCUGUGGGCACUGUGGGCACUCAGGGGUCACUCAGGGUCACUCAGGGUCACUCAGGGGUCACUCAUUGGUCACUCACUGGUCACUCAGGGUCACUCAGUGGUCCCUCAGGGGUCACUCAGGGGUCACUCAGUGGUCACUCAGGGUCACUCACUGGUCACUCAGGGGUCACUCAGUGGUCACUCAGUGGUCACUCAGGGUCACUCAGUGGUCACUCACUGGUCACUCACUGGUCACUCAGUGGUCACUCAGUGGUCACUCAGGGGUCACUCACUGGUCACUCAGUGGUCACUCAGUGGUCACUCAGGGUCACUCAGGGGUCACUCAGGGGUCACUCAGUGGUCACUCAUUGGUCACUCAGUGGUCACUCAGUGGUCACUCAGUGGUCACUCAGGGUCACUCAUUGGUCACUCAUUGGUCACUCACUGGUCACUCAGGGUCACUCAGGGUCACUCAGGGGUCACUCAGGGUCACUCAGGGUCACUCAGGGUCGCUCAGGGUCACUCAGGGGUCAGUUGGUCACUCUGGUCACUCCUCCCCAGGGCAUGCCGCGGUUCCGCGCCCGCUCGGCGCUGCUGGAGACCCUCAAGGCGCUGGGGCUGUUCCGGGGGGUCAGCGAGAACCCCAUGGUGGUGCCCAUCUGCAGCCGCUCCCAGGACGUUCUGGAGCCGCGGGCCGUGCCGCAGUGGUGGCACUGGGGGGUGACUCAGGGGUGAC